RNAcentral lists this unclassified non-coding RNA (176 nucleotides) under Colletotrichum sp. FM-2012-2. RNAcentral's name for it is "partial sequence contains ITS1". The record is from RNAcentral. Lineage: Eukaryota; Fungi; Ascomycota; Sordariomycetes; Glomerellales; Glomerellaceae.
CGAGUUACCGCUCCUUAUAACCCUUUGUGAACAUACCCCAAACGUUGCCUCGGCGGGCAGCCGGAGCCCAGCUCCGGCGCCCGGAGCCGCCGCCGUCUCGGUGCGCCCCACCCGCCGGAGGACCACUAAACUCUAUUUAAACGACGUCUCUUCUGAGUGGCACAAGCAAAUAAUCA